GGCCAGUUAGCUCACUUGAUUAGAGCAUGGUGGUGAUAACACUAAGGUCGUGGGUUCUAUCCCCGUUUGGUCC
Molecule: transfer RNA, 73 nt
Filed under: Apaloderma vittatum (bar-tailed trogon)
Lineage: Eukaryota; Metazoa; Chordata; Aves; Trogoniformes; Trogonidae
Rfam family: tRNA
About the family: Transfer RNA (tRNA) molecules are approximately 80 nucleotides in length.
Source: Rfam by way of RNAcentral